This 348-nucleotide unclassified non-coding RNA is filed under the name soil metagenome. Its description in RNAcentral is "partial contains 5.8S ribosomal RNA, internal transcribed spacer 2, and large subunit ribosomal RNA". The stretch from base 1 to 120 matches the Rfam family "5.8S ribosomal RNA", at positions 35 to 154 of the family's 154-position model. The record is from RNAcentral.
GAUGAAGAACGUAGCGAAAUGCGAUAAGUAGUGUGAAUUGCAGAAUUCAGUGAGUCAUCGAAUCUUUGAACGCACAUUGCGCCCUUUGGUAUUCCGAAGGGCAUGCCUGUUCGAGCGUCAUUAUCACCCCUCAAGCCCCGGCUUGGUGUUGGGCUCUCGGUGGUCGUCUCCGACCACCCGUCUCAAAGAUAGUGACGGCGUCCCAGAGGGAAUCGGUACGAGGAGCUUUCACGAGCAUGUACGCGGGACGACUCUGCGGGCGACGGUCUUAUUUACUUUAUAUACAAGUGUUGACCUCGGAUCAGGUAGGAAUACCCGCUGAUCUUAAGCAUAUCAAUAAGCGGAGGA